ACAAGGAUUCCUCUAGUAACGGCGAGCGAACGAGGAAAAGCCCAGCACCGAAUCCUGUAUCGUCUUGAUACUAGGAAAUGUGGUGUUUAGGCCGUGCUUUGUGCCGGUAUGACUCUCCUCAAGUCCACUUGAUUGUGGCUUCAGGCCCAGAGAGGGUGUAAGGCCCGUGGAGGCGAGUCGUCCGGUGCCCGGCACGUCCUUCGAGUCGGGUUGUUUGGGAAUGCAGCCCAAAGCGGGUGGUAAACUCCAUCCAAGGCUAAAUACUAGCACGAGUCCGAUAGCGAAGAAGUACCGCGAGGGAAAGUUGAAAAGAACUUUGAAGAGAGAGUUCAAGAGUACGUGAAACCGCUGAGAGGCAAACUGGUGGAGCUGAAAUGGUCUUGAGGAAUUCAGCCCUUCCUGCUAGAGUUGUCGUCGGUUGUGAGAUCUCACGACUCCGCCGGCGUUCAUCUUCGUGAAGGAUAGGUGCACUUUCUUCUUGAUCGGACCACGACCAGCGACUUGUCUUGUCUGGCAUAGGUGGAAGGUAGCGUUGACUUCGGUGAACGUAUUAUAGCCGCUUAUUCGGUAUGAGCAAGGCGUUGGAUGCGAUGUUGGCGCUUGCCCAUUGGGCUCGUACGUUGUCUCUUUCAGGCGUGUCGCCGGCUUCACUGCCUUUGGCAGGGGUGUUGGAGACGUGUCGGUUAGCGGCGGCCUCUGCGAUUGGCGUCGAAAGUCUGUGGUUAUGAAGUAGGCAGUCCACCUGACCCGUCUUGAAACACGGACCAAGGAGUCUAACAUGUGCGCGAGUCAUUGGGCAAUACGAAACCUAAAGGCGCAGUGAAAGUAAAGAUCCAUUUUGUUGGAUUGAGGUGGGAUCCUGAGUCACGUGCUCGGGCGCACUACCGGCCCGUUCGACAUGUCUUCAUGCGGGCGGAGCAAGAGCGUACACGUUGGGACCCGAAAGAUGGUGAACUAUGCUUGCGCAGGUCGAAGCCAGAGGAAACUCUGGUGGAGGACCGUAGCGAUU
This 1009-nucleotide ribosomal RNA is filed under the name Koinostylochus elongatus. RNAcentral's name for it is "partial 28S ribosomal RNA". It matches the Rfam family "Eukaryotic large subunit ribosomal RNA", at positions 68 to 885 of the family's 3401-position model. RNAcentral also lists the same sequence under 1 other name. Lineage: Eukaryota; Metazoa; Platyhelminthes; Polycladida; Callioplanidae. The record is from RNAcentral.